AGAAUUCCCACAUGUUGUAGGAGGGACCU
Molecule: non-coding RNA, 29 nt
Filed under: Homo sapiens (human)
Lineage: Eukaryota; Metazoa; Chordata; Mammalia; Primates; Hominidae
Source: RNAcentral